UGUUUUGGAGAGGAUUUUGCUAAUGAAGAGCAGCAGAUUAGAAGCAGGGCUGAUACAGGGCAAAGUAGAGUUCUGCCAUAGGUAACCUCGCAAGCUUCAUGGUCAACAGCACAACCAGGUGGAGUGCAAGCUGGAACAACUGUUGCAGUGGCUGAACUUUGCUGAUGCUUCGGAUUGCUGAACGUGUCCACUGUUGGUCUGGAUCUCAUAUCCUCCCUUGAUCAUCUGUUAAGGCUGACUGUUUCCUGCAGCUUCYCUCUGUUGCUGCUACCCUGUAGGAUAGCUCUGACUGCAAGGAGAGUGGUGUGCUGGAAAAGGCGGAAUUAUCAGCUCCUCUGAGUCAA
Long non-coding RNA from Nothoprocta perdicaria, 344 nucleotides. RefSeq lists it as uncharacterized. The transcript is spliced from 3 exons. NCBI's taxonomy places the organism in Eukaryota, Metazoa, Chordata, Aves, Tinamiformes, Tinamidae. The record is from RefSeq and is a predicted model, not a curated record.